Molecule: ribosomal RNA, 941 nt
Filed under: Cutibacterium acnes
Lineage: Bacteria; Bacillati; Actinomycetota; Actinomycetes; Propionibacteriales; Propionibacteriaceae
Description: bacterial SSU rRNA
Rfam family: Bacterial small subunit ribosomal RNA
Source: RNAcentral
CGUGCCAGCAGCCGCGGUGAUACGUAGGGUGCGAGCGUUGUCCGGAUUUAUUGGGCGUAAAGGGCUCGUAGGUGGUUGAUCGCGUCGGAAGUGUAAUCUUGGGGCUUAACCCUGAGCGUGCUUUCGAUACGGGUUGACUUGAGGAAGGUAGGGGAGAAUGGAAUUCCUGGUGGAGCGGUGGAAUGCGCAGAUAUCAGGAGGAACACCAGUGGCGAAGGCGGUUCUCUGGGCCUUUCCUGACGCUGAGGAGCGAAAGCGUGGGGAGCGAACAGGCUUAGAUACCCUGGUAGUCCACGCUGUAAACGGUGGGUACUAGGUGUGGGGUCCAUUCCACGGGUUCCGCGCCGUAGCUAACGCUUUAAGUACCCCGCCUGGGGAGUACGGCCGCAAGGCUAAAACUCAAAGGAAUUGACGGGGCCCCGCACAAGCGGCGGAGCAUGCGGAUUAAUUCGAUGCAACGCGUAGAACCUUACCUGGGUUUGACAUGGAUCGGGAGUGCUCAGAGAUGGGUGUGCCUCUUUUGGGGUCGGUUCACAGGUGGUGCAUGGCUGUCGUCAGCUCGUGUCGUGAGAUGUUGGGUUAAGUCCCGCAACGAGCGCAACCCUUGUUCACUGUUGCCAGCACGUUAUGGUGGGGACUCAGUGGAGACCGCCGGGGUCAACUCGGAGGAAGGUGGGGAUGACGUCAAGUCAUCAUGCCCCUUAUGUCCAGGGCUUCACGCAUGCUACAAUGGCUGGUACAGAGAGUGGCGAGCCUGUGAGGGUGAGCGAAUCUCGGAAAGCCGGUCUCAGUUCGGAUUGGGGUCUGCAACUCGACCUCAUGAAGUUGGAGUCGCUAGUAAUCGCAGAUCAGCAACGCUGCGGUGAAUACGUUCCCGGGGCUUGUACACACCGCCCGUCAAGUCAUGAAAGUUGGUAACACCCGAAGCCGGUGGCCUAACC